UGAAAUCACAUUCUAGGGGUUUAUUUUUGAGUCAAUUUUUGUUUUGACAUUUUGAGAGUCUUGGUUACCAAAAAAAAGCUAUUGAUCCAACAGUUGAAUGACCAUCAGUUUGUUCAUGGCUCCUCCCUGUUGAAAGCAACAAGCUCUGGCAUAUACAAAAAACCUCUUCUAAACCUCUCUGACAUCUCAGCUACAAAACCUCCAACUCAAUAAUACAGAGACACUGAGAAUGGAAACGAAAGUGUUCAUCUGUGUUCUGUGUGCCUGUUUGGUAACACUCUUAGUGCAUAAGACAUCACCAGCCCUAAUAAAUGAAGGCAUAUUUCUAUUAUACAAACCCUCUCAGCAAGGUCCUGAAGGUCCUGUUAAUGGAAGUAAUUACGAGCAGAUGACUAACCAUACCCUAAAUACAAAUACAACCCAAGAAAGUAUUCUGGAAAAGACCAUUGCGCCGAACCUUGCAGAGAACGAUGGGAAACAAAACUACACACAAGUCUCAAACACAACUCAAGGGUUACAAAAUCCCGAAGACAACUAAUGAUAAAAGACAAAAAGAGAACUGGAAAACAACCUGUUAAACAGUCAACCCUGAUGAAAUGGCAUGCUUUAAUGUUUGUUAAACAAAUUACCUUUGUAUUGUACACUGUAAAAAAUGCAAUACUCCAAUAGUCUCCAAUACUAAAAAAUGCUAUUUUCUUGAAACUACAUAAAAACCCUUGUCACACCAACAAAAUUACCACAAAUGUUGCCCCAACUAGUCAAACACAGUUGUCUGAACAAAGAAUUUCAUAUUGUUGAAAUGUUAAGGCUUUGUGAGUUCCCAGCAUGCAUUGCAGCAUGAAUAAAUUAUGCAGUUACUGUUAUAGGAUUAUUGUUUUGCUGUUUGCUGACUUCAUUUAAACAUUUUUGAUG
Molecule: long non-coding RNA, 912 nt
Filed under: Sinocyclocheilus anshuiensis
Lineage: Eukaryota; Metazoa; Chordata; Actinopteri; Cypriniformes; Cyprinidae
Description: lncRNA (ENSSANG00000049522.1)
Source: RNAcentral